RNAcentral lists this unclassified non-coding RNA (253 nucleotides) under uncultured Moraxellaceae bacterium. RNAcentral's name for it is "contains 16S-23S intergenic spacer region". It matches the Rfam family "Bacterial small subunit ribosomal RNA", at positions 524 to 776 of the family's 1533-position model. Lineage: Bacteria; Pseudomonadati; Pseudomonadota; Gammaproteobacteria; Moraxellales; Moraxellaceae. The record is from RNAcentral.
UACGGAGGGUGCGAGCGUUAAUCGGAAUUACUGGGCGUAAAGCGCGCGUAGGCGGUUGCGUAAGUUGGAUGUGAAAUCCCCGGGCUCAACCUGGGAAUUGCAUUCAAAACUGCGCGGCUAGAGUGUGGGAGAGGAAGGUAGAAUUCCAGGCGUAGCGGUGAAAUGCGUAGAUAUCUGGAGGAAUACCGAUGGCGAAGGCAGCCUUCUGGCCUAACACUGACGCUGAGGUGCGAAAGCAUGGGGAGCAAACAGG